This 120-nucleotide ribosomal RNA is filed under the name Desulfobacteraceae bacterium IS3. The record is from RNAcentral. Lineage: Bacteria; Pseudomonadati; Thermodesulfobacteriota; Desulfobacteria; Desulfobacterales; Desulfobacteraceae.
UCCGGUGGUGAUGGCGGGGAAGUAACACCUGUUCCCAUCAUCCCGAACACAGCAGUUAAGCUCUUCAGCGCUGAUGGUACUGCAUGGGAAGCUAUGCGGGAGAGUAGGACGCCGCCGGAA